UACGUAGAGUGCAAGCGUUGUCCGGAAUUAUUGGGCGUAAAGGGUACGCAGGCGGAUAGUAAAGUCAAGCGUGAAAGGUGUCGGCUUAACCGACAGACUGCGUUUGAAACUGAUUAUCUUGAGUGUAACAGAGGAGAGUGGAAUUCCUAGUGUAGUGGUGAAAUACGUAGAUAUUAGGAAGAACACCAGUGGCGAAGGCGACUCUCUGGGUUAACACUGACGCUGAGGUACGAAAGCUGGGGAGGCAACGGAAGUAGUAUACCGGUACGGUCCUCGAACUAG
RNAcentral lists this ribosomal RNA (282 nucleotides) under uncultured bacterium. RNAcentral's name for it is "partial 16S ribosomal RNA". It matches the Rfam family "Bacterial small subunit ribosomal RNA", at positions 524 to 805 of the family's 1533-position model. The record is from RNAcentral.